Molecule: long non-coding RNA, 1192 nt
Filed under: Numida meleagris (helmeted guineafowl)
Lineage: Eukaryota; Metazoa; Chordata; Aves; Galliformes; Numididae
Description: lncRNA (ENSNMEG00000010028.1)
Source: RNAcentral
AGGGGCAGAGGGCUAUUCUCUAGUGUCUGAAUCUGACAGCACUCAAACUCGCCUCCCCUCCACAUGCAUAGACCACAGUGGCUCUUUAUGUCCCAUUCAAGACCUGCCUUUGUUCUUUCCACUCAUUCUUAAGUCGUUAACCCUUUCUUCAGAAACUGGCCCCAUUUGUGUAGCACGCAGCCACGGAUUCCCCCUGUUCUUUAUUCCAAGAAUUUGAAAUGCGCUGCCUCAUUGUGUUACAGAAGCACAAAGGGCUGCCUGCAUGGUGAGGGAGCUCACCGCACACUGGGGUGCCUUUAAGUUCAGGAAAGGAAGAAACAUGGGCAGACUGAGAUGGUUUGCUUGGCUGCAAGGGGGUCACUGAGCAGGGUGGAUGAUAUCUUUGGUAAGUGGCUUUGAGGGAAACGUGAUUCUCUCAAACCUAUCACCAUUUUCGCCGCCGCCGCACCGUUAAAGCGGCACCUGUCAAGGCCUACCAGAGGAAGGCUGCCAUCUUGCGUGGAGCUGGGGUACAGCAAGAAAUUUAUCCGGGAUCACUGCCGCUCGGCAGAAGACGAGUGAGGGAGUGAGCUAGCUGCAUUCUUCCUCACCGGGGGCUGCGGUCUCCGUUCAUGCAUGGGCAGGCUUCACCUUGUGACAGAGAACGUCUGGGUUCUUGAUACUUUUCCAUUGCCAUCUCCAGAGUUCUGUUUAAAUGUGACCCUACAAAGCCUACUAUCUGAAGUAACCUCAGCAGCUUUGAAAGCUAGAAUACUCCAUACCUGGAUGCAGUACUUUGGGUGAGGCCCCACCAGCACAGAGUAGAGGGGCAGGAUCACCUCCCUCGACCUGCUGGCCAUGCUUCUUUUGAUUCAGCCCAGGGUAUAGUAGGCUUUCUGGGCUGUGAGGGUGCAUUACUGACUCAUGUCCAACUUGCCAGAGCUACAGAGGUAGCCCUCCCACUCACAGAGUUUUUGGAAAUCCUAAUGGUAGAGGAUGGUGAUGAAAUUAAAGUGGAGACUUACUACAUGAUCUGCUUUUCUGCUGCACAGAAUGAAAGAUAGUGUUGAAAAAAGCAACUUGAAUUCAGGCUAGCUUUUGUAGGGUGCUUGGGGCUUUGGCUGGGAAACACUGUCUGGCCCUUCAGGCACAGAUGACUAAAAAGGCUAGUUCUAGCUGAAAUGCUCAGACUAACAUCAAAAAUCAACUUCUU